This is a non-coding RNA of Chiloscyllium plagiosum (whitespotted bambooshark), 270 nucleotides long. The record is from RefSeq and is a predicted model, not a curated record. NCBI's taxonomy places the organism in Eukaryota, Metazoa, Chordata, Chondrichthyes, Orectolobiformes, Hemiscylliidae.
UGUUUGGACACAAUGGAGGAGAUCAGGAAUGAAUGGGCAGGCUAUCGAGCCAGCAGUGCAAUGUUCCACACCUGAAGAAGAGAAGACUUUUGUGGCUACCAUCACAUCAUUUUCCCUUAUCCUCAGUCACACAGAUACUUUCAGCAGACAGCCUUCUCACUCGCACCUUCAACUGAUGACUCGGACAUUGUGGAGAUCACAGUAUUUGAGGAGAAAUUAAUUUGUAAUUGAAGCAACUGUUGAUAUUUAGUGUAGCCAUUUGACUGUACA